GUGCUCACUUUGGCAGCAUAUAUACUAAAAUUGGAAUGAUACAAAGAUUAGCAUGGCCCCUGUGCAAGGAUGACAUGCAAAUUUGUGGAGCAUUCCAUAUUUUU
Diceros bicornis minor is the source of this 104-nucleotide small nuclear RNA. The record is from RefSeq and is a predicted model, not a curated record. Lineage: Eukaryota; Metazoa; Chordata; Mammalia; Perissodactyla; Rhinocerotidae.